RNAcentral lists this ribosomal RNA (460 nucleotides) under uncultured bacterium. RNAcentral describes it as "partial 16S ribosomal RNA". It matches the Rfam family "Bacterial small subunit ribosomal RNA", at positions 338 to 795 of the family's 1533-position model. The record is from RNAcentral.
CCUACGGGAGGCAGCAGUGAGGAAUAUUGGUCAAUGGGCGCGAGCCUGAACCAGCCAAGUAGCGUGAAGGAUGACUGCCCUACGGGUUGUAAACCUCUUUUAUAAAGGAAUAAAGUGAGGCACGCGUGCCUUUUUGCAUGUACUUUAUGAAUAAGGACCGGCUAACUCCGAGCCAGCAGCCGCGGUAUUACGGAGGUUCCGAGCGUUAUCCGGAUUUAUUGGGUUUAAAGGGGGGGUAGAUGGGUUGUUACGUCGGUUGUGAAAGUUUGCGGCUCAACCGUAAAAUUGCAAUUGAUACUGGCAGUCUUGAGUACAGUUGAGGUAGGCGGAAUUCGUGGUGUAGCGGUGAAAUGCUUAGAUAUCACGAAGAACUCCGAUUGCGAAGGCAGCUUACUAAGCUGCCACUGACAUUGAUGCUCGAAAGUGUGGGUAUCAAACAGGAUUAGAUACCCCAGUAGUC